This is a long non-coding RNA of Astatotilapia calliptera (eastern happy), 1142 nucleotides long. The record is from Ensembl. NCBI's taxonomy places the organism in Eukaryota, Metazoa, Chordata, Actinopteri, Cichliformes, Cichlidae.
UGCUUUUUGUGUGUUUCUAGGCUUUGAGGGACUUUCCACAGGUGUGUGUGUGUGUGUGUGUGUGUGUGUGUGUGUGUGUGUGUGUGUGUGUGUGUAUUUAUGCACUUAUUGUGUAAUGGUGUCCACCUCUCUGUAUGUGUGUGAGUGUGUGUUCCCAUGAACAGGUCGGUCCUCUCCUCUCCUGUCCUGUCCUCUCCUCCACCCCCUUCUUUCCAUGUCUGCGCUUCCUCGCGGAGCUAGGUGCGUAUCAUUGGAUCAGUAGCUGUUGGCUGCCACACUGUCCAAUCGCAUCUAGGAAGAGAAAAUAGAGAGAAAGAGGGGGAGAGAGAGAGAGGGGGGGGGAGCGAGGGGGAGAUGGGGGAGGAGAAAGAAAGGGAGAGAGGGAGAGAAGGAGAUUGAUCACUUGAACGUCCUGGGCCCUGUAUUCCUCGGAGAAACAUUAAAAUUUCUACUAUAGCUCCAAACAAAUCUUUUUUUCCUUCUUCUUGUUCUUCCCACCUUUCUCAGGCGGAAGGCUUGUAGGUUGUUUUGUUUUUUUUCUUCUUGUUUCUUUUUUGGGUUAUUCCCACCCCGGAGACGUGCCACCACCACCACCAUCACCAGCAGCAGUAGCAGCAGCAGCAGAGGAAUAUCUCCCAAUAUCCCAUCCCGGGCACGUCGGAUAAGCUGCAGCAGCGAAAACACGCGGCAAAUAUUGCGGUGGAAGGGAAAGGAGAGCAGGUCCAUGGGAUUUCACACCUCUCACCCAGCCUGGGUACGGUAUAUCCUACAUUUUUGUCAUUUGAGGAUUUUUUCCCCUUCUACUGCAGCGGGGAUGCAGGUUGAGGCUUUGCAUUUGAGUGUGUGUGUGAGUGUGUGUGUGAGUGAGUGAGCGUGUUUUGCCGUAGUCAGCUUCAGAGCCGAUAGAGAUUUAGACAGGGAAUUCUACCUCACAGGCAAGCAUUUUUCCACACUUAUUUGUUUUUUAUUCUUCUUCAUCGCACACGCUUUCCCUCUCGUUCGUUAUAAUAAGAAAGCAGCCUAGCUUUUAUCUGUUCUUUCUAUAUGAAAAUACACAAGGGGAGGGUGGCAGGCGGGUUUGCCUUGAUAAAUGGAGCGUUAUUCAUCAGCGUGUGUGUGAUCACCACUGGAAUGUUAACUAG